Molecule: ribosomal RNA, 473 nt
Filed under: uncultured archaeon
Lineage: Archaea
Description: partial 16S ribosomal RNA
Rfam family: Archaeal small subunit ribosomal RNA (bases 370-473)
Source: RNAcentral
GUCCUUCUCCUUGUGAUUGCGGGUUCGCUUUUCAGGAGCUAAAAAAUAGCAGAAUGAUAGAAUUCAUAAGAAAACGGGAACGAUCGGUAAUGAACAAGGGUUGUAGGGAAUUGUUAAACAGGGAAUAGAAUCACGAAAUCGUUAAAUACAGGCGAAAUAUUGAGGUGAUUACGCACAAACCAAAUAGGAAAACACAGCAUUAGGCGGAUAUGGUGAAAGAGCGAUGGCUCAUAGAUGAUCCAAUAUUUUCAUAUGCUGAGAAAAAUGAGGUUUUGAGUGAAAACUCAUUACUGAAAAGUGAAAUGGUGCAAACUUGUGGCUCGCCAAUAUCCAUAUUUUAAUAGAAAAUAACCGACAAUUAACCGAUUAAUUCCGGUUGAUCCUGCCGGCGCCACUGCUAUCAGUUCGGCUAGCAUGCGAGUCUAGGGAUCGCAAGAUACCGGCAUACUGCUCAGUAACACGCGGAUAAUCUG